GUCUUGAACUCACAAAGUUGCUCUACCCAGUUGUCACAGUCUCGUGAUGAUGGCGGAAAGGUCACACCUGUUCCCAUCUCGAACACAGAAGUUAAGCUUUCCAGCGCCGAUGGUACUUGGACCGCAGGGUCCUGGGAGAGUAGGACGUCGCGAGGC
RNAcentral lists this ribosomal RNA (156 nucleotides) under Tumebacillus permanentifrigoris. The record is from RNAcentral. Lineage: Bacteria; Bacillati; Bacillota; Bacilli; Caryophanales; Alicyclobacillaceae.